AAAAAAAAAAAAAUGAGAGCCAUCUCUAUAGGGAGCCCUUGGAGCAUUGAGGCGGUGGCCAUGGCUCCCUCUGGUCUCCAAGUAGCUUACUUUAUUUUGCAACCUUGAUCUUUUGCAUUGAUGCUGCAUUCUAUCUCAUCAACCACAUAUUGGGCUACGAACCAAAAUCAGUAACUUCUUGUGCAUAAAAGAAAUCUUCUCAUUACAUAUAAUCAAUGCAACUGAGAUUCCCAAAUCGUUUUAAAACUAACAAAUUUAUAAUCUUGCAAAUUUUAAACAACACAUCAAUAUUGCUGUUCAGUUUAAUUUUUGCACAAUUUCAGAGGCCAUAUGAUAUCCCUUUCAAUUUUAUCAGCUUAAAAAUAAAUUUAAAAAAAAGAAAACAAGCUAUGAAGGAUACUAUGAGAUACAAAAUUCGUAACUAUAAAUGAAAUAUACAAAAUUAAGUGAAAAAGGUAAGCGAAAUUGAAUAAAA
This 475-nucleotide unclassified non-coding RNA is filed under the name Hevea brasiliensis (rubber tree). Lineage: Eukaryota; Viridiplantae; Streptophyta; Magnoliopsida; Malpighiales; Euphorbiaceae. The record is from RNAcentral.